UCACACCUUCUCAAGCUUCUAAAGAAUUGAAUAAGUCACGUCUGUUAUUUAGCAUAAAGGUAGAAGCUCUGGAAGACCUAUUGUUUAAUCAACUUUGAGAGCCAUCCCCUGUUGGG
Sander lucioperca (pikeperch) is the source of this 116-nucleotide long non-coding RNA. RefSeq lists it as uncharacterized. The transcript is spliced from 3 exons. NCBI's taxonomy places the organism in Eukaryota, Metazoa, Chordata, Actinopteri, Perciformes, Percidae. The record is from RefSeq and is a predicted model, not a curated record.